RNAcentral lists this ribosomal RNA (432 nucleotides) under uncultured bacterium. RNAcentral describes it as "partial 16S ribosomal RNA". It matches the Rfam family "Bacterial small subunit ribosomal RNA", at positions 29 to 507 of the family's 1533-position model. The record is from RNAcentral.
AGCGAACGCUGGCGGCAGGCCUAACACAUGCAAGUCGAACGAACUCUUCGGAGUUAGUGGCGGACGGGUGAGUAACACGUGGGAACGUGCCUUUUGGUUCGGAAUAACUCAGGGAAACUUGUGCUAAUACCGAAUGUGCCCUUCGGGGGAAAGAUUUAUCGCCAUUAGAGCGGCCCGCGUCUGAUUAGCUAGUUGGUGAGGUAACGGCUCACCAAGGCGACGAUCAGUAGCUGGUCUGAGAGGAUGACCAGCCACACUGGGACUGAGACACGGCCCAGACCCCACGGGAGGGGAGAAUGGGGGAAUUUGGGAAAUGGGGGGAAAGCUGAAGCCGCACUGGCGGGGUAAUGGAGGAGGGCUUAAGGUUGUAAAAAUUUUUUACCCGGGGGGGUAAAGACGGUACCCGGGGAAAAAGCCCCGGCUAAAUUCGUG